This 145-nucleotide unclassified non-coding RNA is filed under the name uncultured Ascomycota. Its description in RNAcentral is "sequence contains ITS2". The record is from RNAcentral. Lineage: Eukaryota; Fungi; Ascomycota.
CAACCCUCAAGCACAGCUUGGCUUUGGGAGAGGUCCCCGGGACCCUCCCGCAACCCGUUGGCGGCACCGUCCGGCUUCUGAGCGUAGCAGAAAUCCUCGCUCUGGGAGUCCGCGGCGGGAGCCUGCCGCAAACAAAACACCUAGA